RNAcentral lists this ribosomal RNA (479 nucleotides) under uncultured bacterium. RNAcentral's name for it is "bacterial SSU rRNA". It matches the Rfam family "Bacterial small subunit ribosomal RNA", at positions 50 to 518 of the family's 1533-position model. The record is from RNAcentral.
AAUACAUGCAAGUCGAACGGUAAGGUCCGAAGUGGCAACACGGAGGAUACACGAGUGGCGCACGGGUGCGUAACGCGUAUGCAACCUGGCCCCCGACCGGGACAAAACAGCUGGAAACGGCUGCUAAUAUCCCAUGGUCAUGCGGAAGGGCAUCCUUCUUCAUGUAAAGAUUCAUUGGUCGGGGAUGGGCAUGCGUAUUAUAGGUAGUUGGCGGGGUAACGGCCCACAAGCCGACGAUGAUUAGGGGUCCUGAGAGGGUUAACCCCCACACUGGAACUGAGACACGGUCCAGACUCCUACGGGAGGCAGCAGUAGGGAAUAUUGGGCAAUGGGAGCAAUCCUGACCCAGCCAUGCCGCGUAGAAGGAAGACGGCCCUAUGGGUUGUAAACUUCUUUUGCCGCAGAGCAAACCCGGUCACGAGUGGUCGGUUGAGAGUAUGCGGCGAAUAAGUAUCGGCUAACUCCGUGCCAGCCGCCGC